Long non-coding RNA from Tupaia belangeri chinensis (Chinese tree shrew), 594 nucleotides. RefSeq lists it as uncharacterized. Lineage: Eukaryota; Metazoa; Chordata; Mammalia; Scandentia; Tupaiidae. The transcript is spliced from 4 exons. The record is from RefSeq and is a predicted model, not a curated record.
GGCUGAGUGAAUCCGCUGGACUUGGAGUCCUGGAAGCCAUUUAACCCUUCAUCCAACCGUUCUCAGUUCUCGCAGGACCCCAGGCUGACCACCGGGACGCUAACGCGAGAACAAAUUCAAGAAUCCACUCCGCGCCAGGAGGAGAUUUUCAAGGCUUUUGGAAGGAGCUGGAAAGAUAAGAGGAGCAAGACGAAAAGUUAAGAGUCAUAGAAUCAGGGGACUGGAGAGCUCUCUAGGCCUCUCAGCCCCACCUCCUCCAUCCAAACGGCUCUGCACUUAGGCUACAUCCAAAUACAUGGGCAGCUCUCCAUUUAGAAAGACGCAGUGAAGUGUAGGCCACAGCGAGCUAAGUCAAUUUCGAGUUGCAAAAACAGAUCCCCAAAUAGCAGCUUUAAGUUUGUGAAAAUGAACUCCAGGCUAAGUGCUUAGCGAGAAAGACGCGACCAUGAAUCAACAGUGAUACAGCCCAGGGACCGUCGUCUCAGAUUACAAUGGAAGCACCUGCUCUGGGAACGGGGAGAUGGUGGCAAAGAGUCUCACCAGCCGCGGUGGAUACCAGGGAGAGGCUUGAAGAGGAGAAGGGGAAGAGAUGAG